AUUGAACGCUGGCGGCAUGCUUUACACAUGCAAGUCGAACGGCAGCGCGGGCUUCGGCCUGGCGGCGAGUGGCGAACGGGUGAGUAAUACAUCGGAACGUGCCCAGUAGUGGGGGAUAGCUCGGCGAAAGCCGGAUUAAUACCGCAUACGACCUGAGGGUGAAAGCGGGGGAUCUUCGGACCUCGCGCUAUUGGAGCGGCCGAUGGCGGAUUAGCUAGUUGGUUGGGUAAAGGCCUACCAAGGCGACGAUCUGUAGCUGGUCUGAGAGGACGACCAGCAACACUGGGACUGAGACACGGCCCAGAAACCUACGGGAGGCAGCAGUGGGGAAUUUUGGACAAUGGGCGAAAGCCUGAUCCAGCAAUGCCGCGUGUGUGAUGAAGGCCUUCGGGUUGUAAAGCACUUUUGGCGGGAACGAAAAGGACUGUGCCAAUACCACGGUUGGAUGACGGUACCCGCAGAAUAAGCACCGGCUAACUACGUG
RNAcentral lists this ribosomal RNA (484 nucleotides) under uncultured bacterium. RNAcentral describes it as "partial 16S ribosomal RNA". It matches the Rfam family "Bacterial small subunit ribosomal RNA", at positions 29 to 507 of the family's 1533-position model. The record is from RNAcentral.